This 150-nucleotide ribosomal RNA is filed under the name uncultured bacterium. Its description in RNAcentral is "partial 16S ribosomal RNA". The record is from RNAcentral.
UACCGUCAAAUAAAGGCCAGUUACUACCUCUAUCCUUCUUCACCAACAACAGAGCUUUACGAUCCGAAAACCUUCUUCACUCACGCGGCGUUGCUCCAUCAGACUUGCGUCCAUUGUGGAAGAUUCCCUACUGCUGCCUCCCGUAGGAGU